This 382-nucleotide ribosomal RNA is filed under the name uncultured organism. RNAcentral's name for it is "bacterial SSU rRNA". It matches the Rfam family "Bacterial small subunit ribosomal RNA", at positions 367 to 762 of the family's 1533-position model. The record is from RNAcentral.
CGCAAUGGGCGAAAGUCUGACGGAGCGACGCCGCGUGCAGGAUGAAGUUCUUCGGGAUGUAAACUGCUUUUAUAGGGGAGGAAGUCUAUUGACGUUACCCUACGAAUAAGAGGUUGCUAAACUCGUGCCAGCAGCAGCGGUAAUACGAGUGCCUCAAGCGUUAUCCGGAAUCAUUGGGCGUAAAGGGUGUGUAGGUGGUCGCGUUAGUCUCUUGUUAAAUUCUUCGGCUUAACCGGGGGCAUGCAAGGGGAACGGCGCGACUAGAGGAUGCAAGGGGUCUGCGGAACUCAUAGUGUAGCGGUGAAAUGCGUUGAUGUUAUGGGGAACACCAAAAGCGAAGGCAGCAGACUAGGGUACUCCUGACACUGAAACACGAAAGCGU